CACGAUUUGUGAUAGAGACGAGAGGGAUUUGGAUCCUUGGAUUCGAGGUCAAGGAGGCCUCCUUGCUACACUAACAGAUAAGCCAAAUGAUUUUUCUUACCUUUCCAUCCCUUGCAAUCUUAUUUAAAUACAAUUGGUGAGCUAAGCUAACAGAAUUGCACGCACGAUUUUAUACUCACAAUUGCACUACUGAUUGCCUAACAAUUUCGUAACAGAUUUGAUUUUAACAGAAUGGAAAUAUCUGUAACUAAGUUCUAUACUAUUACAUAUACUCAGGUAUACUGAUCCAAAUACGUAGGACGUUUGGUGCUUCGUUUGGGCCUCUCCCGGCUGGUCUUGACAUCACUGGGCUCGCUGCUUCCUUGUGUCUCAGGUAUGUCUUCAGUUGGAUUCUAAGAAUUGCUAGCAAUUUGUUUGAGAGGUGGAGGGCUUAAAAAAUUACAAAUAUUGAAAAAAGAUGUCUUUAGGAAAGUUCAGUUUAUAAAUGUGUUAUCUUUGUGCAAGACUUUCAAAAGUGUAGAGUCAUCUCAUGUGUAUGGAAUUGGAUGCUCUUCUGUUAGUGGAACUCUUAAUGUUCGAGAGACCCACAAAAACUUGUGUUUUUCUCUCUCAUACUAGACAUUUCUGAAGAGAAAACGAAGGAGAGAUAAUUAAAAACAAAAAACUGAAGGAAGUUUUGGAGUCGUCCUGAUUUCUGUAGCUAGAUGUCAACUGUUGAUUAAUCUGACAAUGGAGAGAUUAACUCAGAUAGUUGUUCGAUUUAUCAAAAAGCACGAGUUUAUCAACAAGUUAGUAAUACAAUAGACACCGUACGGGAAUUGGCAAGAUACAGAGAUUCACCUAAAAUAUACAUAUCUUCAAAAUUGAAAUAAUUAAAAAUAUUUAGCUAAUUCCUACUCUUCGUUUUGAAAAGAAAACACACAAAGAAAAAAACUCAAAAACAAAUAUUUUAAAUCACACAGUUAUGAGUGGAUCGAUAUCUCAAGUUCUAUCUUUAUUGGGUCUUUCUUUAUAGUCUUCUUUGUUAAUUUCUAUUUUAUCAAUAUGUGUCUCGUUGAGACCUGACUUCAGACGAGUAACAUCAACCCUUUUCCAAAGCAGUACAUGCUUUUCUUCAAAGCAAUUUGAAAUAUGAAAAAGGAGUUUUGUUGGUGAAACAGGAGUAUGUAUUCUCAUCUCAUUAUUUAUUACUAUUUUUUUUAUUGAAAUAGUUUUUAUUUAAAAUCCAAACAAUCUUUUCACAAGCGUUUGCUCCCAUCCAAUCGGGGGAAUGCCGUGUCACAGUUAAUUAUUCUUUUUUUUAUAUAAAAACAAAGAAACAAAUUUUAUUUUUACUAUUUAGUAGUACAAUGAAAAAUCAAAUUAUCAUUGUGUAACUUCCUUUUUCACUUUCAUUUAAAAAAACUCAAUUAUAAUACAGUUGCUAGACAUAUGAGAUGUUUUCAAUUAUUUCACAAAAUAUAUUUUAAAUAAUCAAAUUUAAAAAGUAAAAUAGAUUUUAGUACAAUUUUUGUAAUUUUAGCUUUCUUUAGGAUGGAUGUUUAAUUUUUGAAAACUUGAAGUAAUCUCUAACAAGCAGUGAGGUCAACUUCCUCUUCAAGUUGGGGAGGUUGCUUUCUUCUUUAAAAUGUUUAUUUAUAGUGUGAGAAAUGACUCCUAAAAACCCAUUGAUUAAACACCAAUAAAUUGUUUUUCAAAAUUUCAAGUCACCUCAGUUGGAAAAUAUCACGCACAUCAUUUAUCACAAACUUUCAGUUCUCAACUUGCUAUAACAUAAAUUCUCUCACUUGAAUUAAUAUUUAUAAAUAUAGAUAGAUUUUUCCAGCACAACGUUAAAGUGAGUCAAGUGGGAAGACACAACCUUUGGAUAAGGUAUCUUUACUUUUAGGAAACCUUGUUCAUAAAUCUUUUCUGGCUUGGUGCUAGACUUUGAAAAGUGUGAUCAUGUCACAGGGUGCCCCAUUCGUGAUAAUUGAUUAUUCCUUUAUAAGCGUGUCCUAGCUCCAAUUCUUGCAUGUCCUCACCACAAUACACCAUUCACUUGCAAGAAUCUGCAACCUCUGAUUGUAUUCUUGAAGCCCAAAAAUCCUGUAAUACGUGUAUCAUGGUAUCCAUCAAGAUUCUAGCCUGCUGGCAGAUUCUUUUGGUCUUUCUAAUACACCCUUCACCCCAAGUUGUUUGCUUUUCCAAAAUGGUUUCUUUGGCCUCUGCUGCCACCACAGUUUCGAGGAACCAGACCUCCAGCAGGAAGAAGAGUAAGGAAGGAAAGAAGCACGCAAGAGAGGGAGAGAAUUGCUCAAGUUGUCCCUUGCUAGCAGACCAUGAUCAAGCCAAGGAUCUUCUAGAAGUUGGCUACCCUCAUCCUUCCUCACACGUAGUCGUUGAGGUAAGUGGGUUUUGCAACUUUCCUUUUGGGCUUCCUUUCUUCCUGCACCCCCUAUUUUGCUAUCCUGAUUGUUGUCUCCUUUGUUGUUUGCACCUUCUUAUCUGUUGCCUCCUCUGUAACUUGCAUAUUCGUAUCAUCCCUUGGCGCUUGCAAAACCACCUUGUCCUCAAGGUGGUAAUUUUCGCAUAAGUGUGUCCAGCUCUCCCAUGAAGUAUCAUCAGGAGAAAGUCCAUUCCACUGGAUUAGCACCUCCCAAGGAUCCUCUGGUGAAGCUUUGCGGUAGUCCAGAAUGGCUAAGGGAUACACCAGUGGUUGAUCAUUGAGACAAUCAGUGGGCAACUCGACCCCUGCCAUGCUAUCUGGUGCUCCUUUGAAUGGUUUCAUCUUAGAGAGUUGAAACACAAGGUGUAUCUUCACCCCUUCUGGAAAUUACAACUUAUAGGCCACUGGGACCAGACGUUCUAUGAUUUGGAAGGGCCCAUAGUAACGUUGGGCCAGCUUGCCAGAUAAUGCCUUCGAUCCUUUAGCGGUCGUCUGUCGACGAGGACGCAAUUUCAAGAGAACCCAAUCACCAAUCUUAUAUUGCACCUCCCUCCGUUUCUCAUCAGCUUGUUUCUUCAUUUUUGCUUGUGCCUUCAGGAGCUUGUUCCUGAUACUUUGGAAAGUUUCAUCUCAAUCAGUCAACAUUUCUUCCACCGCCACGAUGUUUAAAGACCCUGCAAUGUACUCAGGAAAAUUAAAUGGUUUUCUACCGAAGGUGACUUCAUACGGCGUUGCCCCAGUGCCAGCAUUCCAAGAUGUGUUAUGAGACCACUCGACCCAUGGCAGAAGUUUGCCCCAUAAGCUUGGUCGGCGGUGAACAAAGGCCCUCAAGUACUGUUCCACGACGCGAUUCAGAACUUCUGUCUGCCCAUCACUUUGUGGGUGAUAAGAAGAGCUCAUACGGAGCAAGGUCCCACUUGCACGAAAGAGUUCCUGCCAAAAACGACUGAUGAACAGGGGGUCUCUAUCGGAGACAAAGCUUCUGGGGAUCCCAUGGAGUUUGACGACGAUGUUGACAAAUAAAGACGCAGUCAUGUGUGCCGUAUGAGCAGUGGGAAGGAGGCCCAAGUGAAUUCCCUUGAAAAAGCGAUCCACAACGACCAAAAUGGUAGUAUUGCCUUGAUAUGGUGGAAGCCCGACGAUGAAGUCUAAUGGCAAAUCCUCCCAUGGACGGCAAGGCACCGGCAAGGGGCAUAAUAACCCUGCCAUUUUUUGAGCUUCAUAUUUAGUGACUUGACAAUCCACAUAAUUAGCCACAAAUCUUUUAACAUCUUCGUGUAGACCUGUCCAAUGGAAAUUCUCUGUUAUGUGUGCUAGGGUCUUAGUAAUGCCGGCGUGACCCCCUGUCGGGGUUGUGUGAUACCCAGCAAGCAAUACAGGGAUCAUGGGAAUAUCCUGUGGUAACCAAAUUCAAGCAGAUUGAAGCACCAAGUUCUGGGAGAGCGUGAAUUAGGGAUGUAGCGAAGGAUUAUCUCGCAGAGAUUGACGCAGAGUGCAAUACUCAAAGUUGUCAUCCAGUUGGUGGCGGAGUUCUUCAAGAAAAAGCAAUGAUGGUAUGGAUAGAAUCAUGGACAUAGAGGCGUCAGAUUUCGGUAGGCGCGACAAGGAAUCAGCUGCUUGGUUAUGACUGUCGGAGCGGUAUUAAAUCUCGUAGUCGUAUCCCAAUAACCUGGCCAAGUACAUAUGUUGCUCAGGUGUCUGGAUUACCUGAGUCAACAGUUCCUUUAAGCUCUUAUGAUCAGUGAUGAUGACAAAAUGGUGGCCAAGCAAGUAUUGCCUCCACUUCUUAACGGUGGUAGUGAUGGCACAUAAGUCACGAACAUACGCUAAGGCACCCAAGAGUUUGGGGGGAAACGUCUUGCUGAAGAAGGCGAUCGGAUGCCCCUUUUGAGAAAGAACCGCACUCAUCCCUACUCCCGACGCGUCAGUCUCGAUGGUGAAGGGCACAGUGAAGUCUGGUAAGGCUAAAACAGGGGCCGUAGACAGUGCGAGUUUGAGGUUUUCAAAAGCUAUCUGAGCUUGGGGGUCACUGGAAGGAUUCGAGAGUAGUGACUGCUACCAAUGGAGCCACAAUAGUCGCAUACCCCCGAAUGAAUUUCCUAUAAAAUUCGGCGAGCCCAAGGAAGCUUCUCACGGCCUUGAUAGAGCGUGGCAGAGGCCAUUGUUGAAUGGCGGCAAACUUCAAAGCUAUCGGCUCCACCCCCUAUCCCGAGACCAUGUGGCCAAGGUAUUCCACCUGAGGUUGUGCAAAGGAGCAUUUGGUUAGUUUUAAAGAAAAUUGAUUGUCUAGUAACACUUGAAAAGCUGUUUCUAGAUGUUGCAAGUGAGCCUCGAAGGAGGAGCUGUAUAUCAAGAUAUCGUCAAAGAAGACGAUAAUAAAUUGUCGGAGAUACGACUGGAAGAGCAUGUUCAUGGUAGCCUGGAACAAAGAGGGAGCAUUGCAGAGCCCAAACGACAUCACCUUAAACUCAUUCUGAUUUGAUGGUACCCUUGCAACAGAUCGAGCUUCGAAAAACAUUGGGCGCCCCCUAAUUCAUCAAGUAAUUCAUCAAUAGUGGGUAUGGGAAAUCGAUCUCUGAUUGUUAUCGCAUUCAGAGCACGGUAAUCCACGCAGAACCGCCACGUGCCAUCUGACUUACGAACGAGCAACACCGGCGACGAGAAUGGGCUCGUGUUAGGUUGAAUGAUCCCUUGCUGCAACAUAGAAUCCACCUGAGCUUCUAUCUCUUGCUUUUGAUAGUGAAGGUAACGAUAGGGACGAACAUUCACUGUUAAUGCAUGAGGAAGAAGAUGAAUAUGGUGGUCCGUCGUCCUCUCCGGGGGUAACGGCUGAGGUUGCCUGAAGAGAAGCUUGAAUUUAUUGAGGAGGUGUUGAACUUCUGGUGGUGGUGCAGGGGUGGAGGGACUUGGAACAGGUUCAGAUAACAUUGUAAUAUGGAAGUACGAUGUAUCUAACUAAUGACGGAACAUCCGGCGAAACUGGUGCUGGGAAAGAAGGUUUGAGUCUGUUGCAUGCUCACCCUAUAGCAUCACGAGACGGUCCUCAUAAAAGAACUGCAUAGAUAAGGUAUUAUAAUUGGUGAGCAUAGGACCCAGCGUUUUAAGCCACUAUACACCAAAGACAACAUUGGCGCCAGAAAUAGGAAGAAUGUAUAAAUGGAGGGUAAAAGAGUGAUCCUGAAUGUCGACAGGGACGACUUCACAAAGGCUGGUGCAUUCCAAGUAUUGGCUGUUGCCAACCAUUACACGCUGAGGUGUCUCGAUCUUUCGGCUAGGUAAGCCCAAUUGGGCGACAAUCUGAGGUUGGACAAAAUUAUGGGUACUUCCCCCGUCAAUGAGCACCGUGACGCGGUGGCCGAAGAUGAGGUUGAGAAGGCGGACAGAGGUGAGCUCGUCCAGUGUCAAGCAACGCACAAAGGGUGACUGAUUUCGAGUAGGUGACGGCAAUAGUAGAGGUAACGGUGGGGAACGCACUUGCAAAUGAGGAAGUGGUGGGGGACGAGGUUGAGAAGGCGGACGAAGGUCCGAGAGCUUCUCCUCUUGGAGACGGGCCAGGCUGGCCGCCUGAACCAGCAUGAGGGGCUGGUGUGCUUGUACCUCGCGACGAAUCUCCGCGGACAAGCCAGAGAUGAAACAAGCCAAGAGGAAGGGGGGCGGCAACCUGAUGAUCCUGUUUGCCAAGUCCUCAAACUUCGACAGGUAUUCCGCUAUUGUUCCCUUCUGUGUUAGCUUAAACAAUGUGCAUGUUGGGUCAUCAUAUUGAGAUGGUGCAAACCUUGUUUGCAAGGCCUGUAGAAAUGCCGGCCACGAUGUAAAUUGAGCAUUGCUUGUCAUGUACUAGAACCAAGCAAGAGCUCGGCCUUCCAUGUAAAAGGAGGCUAUGGUUAGGCGGUCCUUUUCGGGUGUAUUGUGAUACUGAAAGUAUUGGUUGAUCUUAAAGAUCCAACCAAGUGUUUCUGUGCCAUCAAAACAUGGAAUGUCGAGUUUCAUUUUGUGUGUGGUUGCAGGUCUAGGAGUAAGAGUGGACGAAAUGGGUAUGAGAUUGGCUAUGGGUGAAGCAACAGGAGCGAGGCGGGUUAGGAUUUCGUUUAAUUUCAGAGACAUGGUUUAAAGGGUGUCUCCUAAACGGGCGAGGACAUUAGCUAGGUGUGGGGGGUUGGGUGAAUCGGCCAUGGAAGAAAGAACGAGAGCACCAAAUUGUUACGGGUAAUGAACUGGUUUUCGAGGAACCAGACCUCCAACAGGAAGAAGAGUAAGGAAGGAAAGAAGCACACGAGAGAGGGAGAGGUAAUUUGUAAUUUUCAUUAUGAUCCUUGCUUGUUAUUUACAUCACUGUAUAUAAUACUCUAAUAACAGAAUUGAUCCUAAGAGAAUAUUUGCCAUAACAUAAUUGUUGAAGCUAUCCCCUACUAGCAGACCAUGAUCAAGCCAAGGAUCUUCUAGAAGUUGGCUACCCUCAUCCUUCCUCACACGUAGUCGUUGAGGUAAGUGGGUUUUGCAACUUUCCUUUUGGGCUUCCUUUCUUCCUGCACCCCGUAUUUUGCUAUCCUGAUUGUUGUCUCUUUUGUUGUUUGCACCUUCUUAUCUGCUACCUCCUCUAUAACUUGCAUAUACGUAUCAGUUUCUUUAUGCAUAAUCCAUUCACAAUUAAUCCAUCCAUUACAUAAAAAUAAAACAAAUAGAUGGAUACAAAUUUAUCUAUUUAAUUUUAUGGAUGAUUAAUGAUCCAUCUAUUAUUUUAAAAAUCUUAUAAAAUAUUUAAUAGAUUAAAAUUGAUCCAACUUAAUAAGUAAAGAAUUUGUGGGCAAUUUUUGACCAAUGCUAACCAUGACUUUUUUCGGUUAUCAUCGGUCGAUACUAUUUCUUUAGCAAACAUUGAUCAAUGUCGAUUAGAGUUUUUUUGUCCCACAUUGGCUGAUGAUGUUUUUUCAAUCGACGAUGUCGAUGGUAUUUUUUGGACGAUGUUGACUAAGUUCUUUUUUGGCCGACUUUGGUUAGGAUAAUUUUUUUGGCCAAUGUCAUCCAGAGCUUUUUCGACCUACGUGAGUUGGUGAUAUUUUCAACCAACACUAGCUGAUUCUAUUUUUCGGACGAUGCCAACUACGAUUUUUUUUUUAUCGAAUUUGGUCAGUUAUUUUUUGGUCGACACCAACUAAUUUUUUUUUUUGGAUAACAUCAAUUGAUGAUAUUUUUUGAUUGAUGUCUACCAUGAUUUGUUUUUAUCAAUGUCUGAUGAGGCUAUUUUUUUGUUAAUAUCAGCUAGGAUUGUUUGGUCGACAUUUGUACAAGCUAACCUUUGGUCGACUUUAACAAUGAUUUUUGGUCAACAUCAACCAUGAAUUUUUUUUCUAUUGGUUAGGUUUUUUAGUCAAUGUCAAUAAAGACUAUUUUACGGUUAAUGUCAACUAAAAAAUAUCAUUAGUCAAUGUCGUCCAAAAAAUCUUGUCAAGAUCAGCCAAAAAUUACUCUAGUGAACUAUCUAUUAAAAAAAUCCUAACCAACAUCUCUCAAAAAAUAACAAUUGCCGAUGUCGAAUGAAAAAACCAUAGCUAACGUCCGUCUAAAAAUCCUUCCAAGCAUUCGCCAAAAAUCCUUGUCACGGUCAACCAAAAAAAAUCCAAUUGACAUUAAGCAAGAAAUUCCUAACCAACGUUACUCAAAAAAUAAUCUUGACCGAUAUUGACCAAAAAAACCCUAAUCAAUGUUAAAAAAAAAUAGUCACCAUCAACGUUGGCAAAAAGAACAAGUCAGCGUUGACAAAAAAAAAUACCUCUUAAAAUUUAGAAUGUUUAAAUAUAAUAAGUAACAAAGAAAUUAAAAGUAUUAUUGAUAUAUUUGAAAAUUUAGAAUGUUUAAAAAUCAUUCCUCUCUUAAUAGUUAAGAUUAAAAUAAAAAAAAUGAUCAGAGUCCAUGCGUAUUCUUAUCCUAUCCAUCAAUUAAGGUAUCCAAGUCAGUUACUUAAGUAAAAAUGUGUGAAUAAUUGUAAGUUUCCGUGUUAAAUUUUAGAUUAAAAAAAAACUCUUAAGAGUGACUUUGUACUUGCGUUGUUAAAUACCCACUUUAUAAGCAAUAAAAAAACUAAAAGAGACAAUAAAUUGUAAAAGUAAAAUUUGAGAGUAGAGUUAGAAGAAUAAGAUAACAAGAAAAUUAAACAGCUCUAAUGAAAAAUACAAAUUCAGAAUAUUGUAAUGGAGAUGUGGGAGGGCAAAGUCCGCAAUCUUCAAAUGUGGGUGCAACGGACAUGCUCCUAUAUAUAGCAUUAAAAUAUUGCCACAA
Long non-coding RNA from Glycine soja, 8704 nucleotides. RefSeq lists it as uncharacterized. Lineage: Eukaryota; Viridiplantae; Streptophyta; Magnoliopsida; Fabales; Fabaceae. The transcript has 2 exons. The record is from RefSeq and is a predicted model, not a curated record.